CGAUUAAAUUUGGAGGAAGAGGUGAUGAAUGACUGCAGCAGUGAGCACAGCAGCUUUAUCAAAACUGAAAGUGACCCACCUGAAGACCCGUCCCUCCCUGCUCUAGGUCCUGAUUCCUGCUCUAUUGGUUUGGAAGAGUAAUGGGAUUAUCUGGCUCAACAGAAAGUCUGAACACUCAGAGUACCUGCUGCUCCAGCCAGCCGCUCCUGGGUCCCUCAAGCCAUUUGCACAUGGACGACGAUGAACUGGAUGUUUAACCCUGCACAUCUCCUCCUUUGUACAGCCCGAUAUGUCUCCACAUUGCAGUUUGAUGCACUCCCUUUCCAGUAUCCCACUUUGAAUAUGAUUGACUCUUAUUCUAGGCCUUUUGUUUUUGAACAUAACUGGCUGAGGCCGAUGAGCUUGUUCUGGUGGUCAGUCAUAUUUCUUGUGCUUGGUUUUAGGGCUCUAUUUUAUCAAGUUGCUUCACCCAAAAUCACCUUUACAUUAUUCAAACUCUGCAUUAUUAUCUUUCUUCCAUGAAUCACUAAAGAAGAUUCCAUGAAAGUGGAAGUUGAUUUUAAAGUACUUGUUAGGCUCCAAAAACCAGUCAAAUAAAAUAAGUCUUUACUACAUAUCAAGUUUUCAGAAGCCAUAUGAAAUACUUGUGAUGAACAGACCAAACUCUAAACCAGGGCUGUCCAAACUCAGUCCUGGAGGGCCG
This is a long non-coding RNA of Sinocyclocheilus grahami, 703 nucleotides long. RefSeq lists it as uncharacterized. Lineage: Eukaryota; Metazoa; Chordata; Actinopteri; Cypriniformes; Cyprinidae. The transcript has 3 exons. The record is from RefSeq and is a predicted model, not a curated record.